This 81-nucleotide transfer RNA is filed under the name Tengunoibacter tsumagoiensis. RNAcentral describes it as "tRNA-Ile". The record is from RNAcentral. Lineage: Bacteria; Bacillati; Chloroflexota; Ktedonobacteria; Ktedonobacterales; Dictyobacteraceae.
AUUGCCUACUGCCGAAUGGACCUGUUCGGCCUGAUAGGCCGAGACAGGGAAGAUAUCGGGUUCAAAGCCCAGUAGCUGUUU